This is a long non-coding RNA of Drosophila yakuba, 3816 nucleotides long. RefSeq lists it as uncharacterized. Lineage: Eukaryota; Metazoa; Arthropoda; Insecta; Diptera; Drosophilidae. The transcript is spliced from 2 exons. The record is from RefSeq and is a predicted model, not a curated record.
GCUCCGCUGUUAUUUUUUGCUCUGUUUUUCGAGCAAGUUGUGGCCUGGCUUAUUGAGUUCCUGGUGCUGCUAAGGACACGUCCAUAAAUGUAUGACUAGCGAAGAAGCCAGACUGCAGUUGAACUGACUUUGUACUUGAAGCAGUUUCUGAAAAAUUAUUUGAUAUAUGUUCUGCGCUGCGAAACUUCUGGGUAUAUAUUUUACCACGGAUUUGGCCAUAGAUAGAUACACAGAAAUUUACAUUUUAUACCCGACCGACAUGAGCAAUGAGCUCAUUUAUUGUUAUGGCUACAGUUUUUUGUUGGGAAAUAAAAAUAAUAAGAGUUGGAUGAUGAACCUUUUUUCAAAUAACCACCAACCCACGAAGCUAUUCCUGCAAUCAACAUUAUCUUGUGACCAAUGUUUACUUAGUUUUCAUUGUUUUUCUUUUCGGGCUUUCCUACAUUCGUUGGCCCUGAGGACAGUUUGAAUAUUUUUAUUAAUUUCUGUUCAACUUUCGACUCAGUCCUCUAUUCAUUCCCGUUGUUAAACAAGGGAACAAAUGUUUUCAUAGGGGCGCAGGAAAAUGGAGAAAAGCGCUCGAGGGCGCAGUUUGUGCCAAUUUUUAAAUUUUUUGCCGACUCCGCACGAAAUGGAAAAUCAUAAUAAAUAAAUACAGUUUUUAUUAUUAUAUAUUGUGGAAGCAAACAGCGUGAUGUGAGGGGUCCCAUGUUGUGAGCGAGCCUUUUUAUUUACUUUUUGAGGGCGGAAAGUCGAACACGCAGCCAGCCAGCCCGCAGUUCCAAUUUAUUUUCAAUGUUUCAAAUAAUUGUAAAAAAAAUAAGGAGAAGUACACGUAAAUUGAACAUUUUAGCGGGCUUUUAAGCAAUGUUCAAGGUGGCGGUGGCACUCAUCCCCACUCACCCACCUGACAGAAACAACAACCUCAUUGCACUUAGAACUUCCGCACGAUAAAAUUAAAUGACGGCUGCUGCCGCACAUCCCAGUACUUCCCUGUUCUGAGCAAUCUAUAUCAAAGUGGGAACAGCAAAAUAUACUUGAUGGAAAAAAUGGUGUGGAAUGGUGCAAGUGGUUUGGAUGGGUGGUGGGAUGGGUGGUUGGAAUCACUUAUGGCAAAGUUGUUGCCCUGAAAUUAUGUUACCAGUAACAAGGUGAAAGCGCAAAAUGAAAAAUCACUUAAACAAUUUGAUAUUUGAUUUGCCUGACUCUCAGCACUUCUGCUUAAAGAUUUAUAGAGUUUUUGCGCUCCGCAGUUCAUAAAUACACGCAUAAAAGUCGCUUGAUUUUGUAUUUUCCCACUCUCGUUUCUGUGUUUCUCCUUUUGGCCUGGACUGAAUUAUGGCUAUAACAAAUCUUCGCCCCAGUUACGGCCAACGUCACGUAGCAACAGCCAUGACUGCGGAAAGUGGGUAAAGUGCGGCGGGCACGAGGAUCGGGAACCUAGACUUUAUUGAUAAAGGCAUAAUUUAUUUGAACAAUCGACAAAACGCUUUUGUCAAUAAAGCCAGAUAAAUAUCUGGCAUUGUAGCAGCUUUAUGGUCGUUUUUUCGUCAUUCCCAUUUUUUCCGCUCUUUGUUUUGCGGUUGCGUGACAAUGGCCAAAGGAGUGGGAGAGCGCCAAGUGGGCCUGAGAUAGGUCGGCCUGGCACUCGAAAACGGUUUAUGGCCGAUACAGUGAACUAUAAAUAUAACGUACUCUGCAUGCCAACAAUUCCAUCAGCUAUGAUCGUCUGUGGUUUUAGGACUGCAUUAAUCAGAUAUUUAUUUAUUAUUGUGUGACUCACAGUUCUCUUGAAUAAAGUCCUUUAAAUUCUUUAACGCUUAUGGCCAUGUUGCAAUUUUUAACUGUGUCUGUACAAACUUUAAUCAUGAAAGUAAUUUAAUUUUAACAGUUUAAGUAGAUAAUAAAAUUGGCUUGCCAUUUUCCGGUAUUUAUGCUAGGAACCCACUUACAGCAUUUCAGUUUUACGCAUUUAUUACUUUUUUAUAUCUGCCCCCUGGUUGCAUAAUAUUGUCAAUGGUUAAUUGAAAUGUUGAGCCAUUUAUAAAUAAAAGGUCAGUUUUAAUGAACAAAUUGGUUUAAUUACUUUUGGGGAAGUGCACUGCAAGUCAAUGUAUAAAUAGCAUUGCUUGUCUGCCUACGAGCGAUGUAAAAAAUUCAACUUUCCCGGCUUUGGUAAAUAAAACGGUGACACCAUGGAAAUUUAUAUAUAUAUAUAUAUAUAUAAUACCUAUGGGUAUAUGUUUGUUCCAGCAUAUGUUAAACAAGAGGAUUUAUGCGAGUAUAACAAAAACACAGAAAGCACAGCAAAACACGUCGCACUAUUUUGCAAUUUUUUGCCUUGGCUUUAACGUGACGUGUCAGCCUGGGGGCGUCUGACUCGCCCAAAGGAUCUCGAGUCCUGGGCCCCCUCAACGCAAGAACCCAACUCACUUGGCAGGCAAACAUUAUCGCCUACGUGAGCUGGAAGCCCAAGUGAAGCAGCCAGCUGGCGUCGCAGCUCGCCACGUGUGUGGCGGCCAGUGUAUGAAGAAAGUAUCUAAAACCCCUGUCUUUUAUGUUCCCCCAUUCUGAUUAACUGAACGCGGAAAACCUCAAAUCCCAUGUAUACUGCAAAUCAUAUUACAAGCAAAGGGAACGGUUGUAGUCGGAAAAAUGGCAGAAAAUUAGAGAGCUCAUUUUUUGCAUUUUCAGUUCGAUUUGAUUCUGGCUCUUGUCAUUUAAUAUCCGCAAUUAAAGUGGUCAUCAAUCAAAGCGAAACCUAAAUGAAUUAAAAGUAAACGCAAGAACAAAGCAAAGGAUGAAUGCACGGGGCACAACAGUAAACAGAAGAACCAAAGGAACCGGGAUAAGCGGGAUGGAGCAAAUGAACGAGAAACGAAAGGAAAGAAGCGACUGAAAAGGAAACCGAAAAGCGGCGGCAACAACCGAAGGAUAUAACCCAACACAAACAGCGGUCGCUUACGCACACUGUCACACCAACGAUGACCGUUAUCGUUGUCCAGUCCCCCACUGAGAAAAAUUUGAGCCAUCAUAUUUUUAUAUUCCUCGUGCUCUGGUGAUUGCUUAAUUUGGUAUGACAAAUAUGUUAAAUGUGAAACUGUUAAAUUAUUUUUGGGAUUCUACUUUAGGUCCUUAAUUUUUUUAAUUAACCAGCCUAUUUAAACGCUCCUUAUUCUAUUCCAAUUCAAAGCAGAUAUAAAGCCGUACAAAAUUUUUCUCAGUGUACCCUUAUUCGUGCCCUGCGAGUGUCUCCGUUCAUCCAGGACAGCGAUAAACAAGUGCUAUACAAACAAAGACGGCGCUGUACGCUGAACCAUUGAUGAUUGAACAGGACAUUAAUCUAACAAAAUGCAGACAGCCUGUAUGAGGGGUGGAGGAGUGGUUCCGGGGGCGAGUAAAUCAACUGACCAACUGUGAAAGUGUCAAAUUUCAAGCCACACAUUGUUGGCUCCGCCUCUUCCCGCAUCCUACCGCGCCAACGAUGACCGAACUCCGCAUCCUGACCAGCCGCAUCCUUGUGGUUGCCGCUGCUCCUGGCCACGGAGGCAAACAUAAUUACGCGGAUGCCAAAGCUAUACAGACGUGUAUAAUAAUACCGCAGGAUCAUAUGUAUGGGCACAUACAUUUAUAUAAAUAGUGAGCUUGGGUUUCUGUUCAGCGUCAUUGGCGUUUGCGUCAUGGCACAAGGUGAAUUCAUGGCAAUAUAGUGUGUCAUUUCUAAUUUAUGUCAGUUUGCCGAUGCAUUUUAAAUGGAACACCCUCGGGACCUGCAUCUUCAGGUAGCUAUUAAAUUGCCCUGGAUAUUUAAGGACA